Camellia sinensis is the source of this 1819-nucleotide non-coding RNA. The record is from RefSeq and is a predicted model, not a curated record. Lineage: Eukaryota; Viridiplantae; Streptophyta; Magnoliopsida; Ericales; Theaceae.
UUAAAUGUUUAUUGAUAUCAAUUUCCAUCUGAAUUAUUACCUUUUCGGACUGCUUUAUACUAGUCGUUCUGGGCCUAUAAUGAUGGGUUAGCACUCUUAUAGGAAGCAAAAAGUCUGCCCAAGAAAAAUUUUGAGACCCAGGAGGGGCCAUGGCCCCCCUUCAUCCAAACAUAGGCCCACCCUUAGAUCCAUCUUUUAAGUUGAUAGUUUGCAUAAUGCUGUUCUGAUAUUUUGUUCUGGCCCUAGAUGUAUGUAUGACAUGAUACUAGGAAAGAAGUAAAUAAGAAGUUACAGGUUUCCACUGCCUAAUGAAAAAAUAAAGAUGAGUUGGGAAAAGUUUUAGUUGUUGACACAUGUAUGGAAAUGUAAGCAUGGGGAGACAUGAUUGGUUUUAUGAGGUGUACCAUUGAAGUAUUAUAACGAUUAUUCAGUGAAUUUACUAUCAUUCCUAUUUUCAUGUCUUUGUUUUUCUAUAGUUAUAUUUCCUUUUGAUGUAAUUUUGUUUAUUGUAUGUUCUGCUUUAUUUUCUAUUGUUUAUUAUUCAAUUUUUAUCUGCAUUAUUCUACUUCUUGACAGAUAGAAACUGUGACAUAAGUUCACUGUUCUCGUGCAUAUAUAUAUAUUCUCUUUCAAUGUCUGAUUACAGGACGGUGUUAAUAUCUUGGCUGUUAAUUAUGGUUCUCCUGGUGCAUGUCCAUAUCCUCGGCAAUUGAAACUUGCUGCUGCAGUCAACACUUCUCCAAGAGGGAAGAAGCUGACCCAAUUAGCCAAACUCAAGUGUUUGGAAUCGGUUUCAGGGCUACCCUACUGGGGGCUUAUAUCCCCUUAAUAAGCUUGUUCUUAGAAAAUAUGGUAUCUAACAAAUUUUAAUCUUGGGAAUGAUUAGAUUUUUAACUUUUCAAUUUUGAUUGUGAGGUGUUGUGGCUCAACAUGAUGUUUUAAUUUGUUAUGAAUUCAUUUGUUUCAACGAUGUACAAGAAAAAAAUUCAUAUUUUUCAGCUCUAAAGCGAAUUAUAUCAAAUCAAUGGAGUAGAUAGGUCAGGAGGGUCAGGCUUUGGUUGGCCAAUUAUAGUGGUCCUUGGGUUCUGUAUCAAACCUUCUAACAUGACUGAUAAAUUGGUCAGGUUUUGGUUAACAUUAUGGUUCUUACAAAGAUUUCUCAGCCUUACAAAACCCACUUGGAGCCUCUGUUGCGAUGAGCAUCCAGUUUUUAUUGUUCUCCAUGCUGUAUGAAUAUUAUUUGAGCAUGUUUGACCCAAUUUUAAUUGAGCUUGGUCUGAUCUAAUUUUGGAGUUUUUAUGGCAGCAUGAACUGCAUGGCACGGAGUGGUGCUUGCUUGAGUCUUAACACUUUUUUGGCAAAUUGACAGUAUCAUUUCUCAAUUACCACUUAGCUUGCUUUCAUAUAUUAGAUUAUAACUUCUGUUUUUCAAUUACAUUUGGAACAGGGAAUAUAUGGUUAUCCAAUUGAGAUCCAGGCCCUUUUCUUUUUUGCACUGAGGUGUGCACAACAAAUGUUAAAACCAGAGGGUGGUGGCAAGGAAUUGAUUGAGCGGAUUGACAAGAGGAUUACAGCCCUGAGCUUCCACAUACAAAAUUACUACUGGCUUGAUUUCACUCAAUUGAAUAUUGAAUUUGAACAUGUACAGUUUAAUUAUUCUUUGUAAAAUAUUGAAUUUGAUGGUUUGAUCAAUUUUUAUUUUUAUUUUCUGUUAUGAUGUUUUUGUGAAUGGAAUGUAAAUAAUCAGCUCUUAGUGAGUGAGAGACGGCACCACCGUCGGAAAAAAUAGAAAAUUUUAAUAUUUUUAUUAAUUUUGUUA